This 470-nucleotide RNase P RNA is filed under the name Bacillota bacterium. Its description in RNAcentral is "Firmicutes bacterium (anaerobic digester metagenome) RNase P RNA component class A". It matches the Rfam family "Bacterial RNase P class A". From Rfam's summary of the family: Ribonuclease P (RNase P) is a ubiquitous endoribonuclease, found in archaea, bacteria and eukarya as well as chloroplasts and mitochondria. The record is from RNAcentral. Lineage: Bacteria; Bacillati; Bacillota.
CGAGUAAAUGAGGCAGUCGCGGGAACAUGUCCGCAAGGCGGUUCUCGAGGAAAGUCCGAGCUCCGCAGGGCAGGGUGCUGGGUAACACCCAGUGGGGGCGACCCUAAGGACAGUGCCACAGAAAAUAUACCGCCCGGCACUCAACUCUAACGAAAAUAUCUUUUUGCUGUAGCACGGCGCUGGAGAAAAACAAGGAUGUGCAAUCUGAAGUAGACAGUUAUUUUUGUUAGAGUUGAGUGCUGGGCAAGGGUGCAACGGUGCGGUAAGAGCGCACCAGGGGCCGGGAGACCGGUCUGCUAGGUAAACCCCACCCGGAGCAAGACCAAAUAGGAGGAGAAUGAGGUUGCCCGCUGACUCCUCGGGUUAGGUCGCUGGAGGCGCCAGGCAACUGUCGCCCUAGAUAGAUGGCUGCCGCUUCCCCGGCAUUUGCCGGGGGAGAACAGAACUCGGCUUACCAUUUUGCUCGGGAC